Molecule: ribosomal RNA, 395 nt
Filed under: bacterium enrichment culture
Lineage: Bacteria
Description: bacterial SSU rRNA
Rfam family: Bacterial small subunit ribosomal RNA
Source: RNAcentral
UAAUACGGAGGGUGCAAGCGUUAUCCGGAAUCACUGGGUUUAAAGGGUGCGUAGGCGGCAUUAUAAGUCAGGAGUGAAAUUCCACAGCUUAACUGUAGGGACUGCUUUUGAUACUGUAGUGCUAGAACCGAGAUGAGGUAGGCGGAAUGUGACAUGUAGCGGUGAAAUGCAUAGAUAUGUCAUAGAACACCAAUUGCGAAGGCAGCUUACUAGACUUAGGUUGACGCUGAGGCACGAAAGCGUGGGGAGCAAACAGGAUUAGAUACCCUGGUAGUCCACGCCCUAAACGAUGCUAACUCGACGUUUGGGAUUAAUUUUUGAGCGUCCAAGCGAAAGCGAUAAGUUAGCCACCUGGGGAGUACGUUCGCAAGAAUGAAACUCAAAUGAAUUGACGG